Small nucleolar RNA from Jaculus jaculus (lesser Egyptian jerboa), 128 nucleotides. The record is from Ensembl. Lineage: Eukaryota; Metazoa; Chordata; Mammalia; Rodentia; Dipodidae.
CUGCACUGGCAAGUGACCCAUUGGGCUUCCCCCUGACCAACUGGGCAUCAAGCAGUGCUAAAGCAAAUCCCUCCAAAAACUAGGAGAGUCACACUGUGGGCUCCUCCUGCAUGCAGGUGGGUACAGAG